Molecule: ribosomal RNA, 253 nt
Filed under: uncultured bacterium
Lineage: Bacteria
Description: partial 16S ribosomal RNA
Rfam family: Bacterial small subunit ribosomal RNA
Source: RNAcentral
UACGUAGGGGGCAAGCGUUGUCCGGAUUUAUUGGGCGUAAAGAGCGUGUAGGCGGCUAUAUAGGUCCGUUGUGAAAACUCGAGGCUCAACCUCGAGACGCCGGUGGAAACCAUCUAGCUAGAGUCCGGAAGAGGAGAGUGGAAUUCCUGGUGUAGCGGUGAAAUGCGCAGAUAUCAGGAAGAACACCCGUGGCGAAGGCGGCUCUCUGGUACGUGACUGACGCUGAGACGCGAAAGCGUGGGGAGCGAACAGG